Non-coding RNA from Rattus norvegicus (Norway rat), 69 nucleotides. Lineage: Eukaryota; Metazoa; Chordata; Mammalia; Rodentia; Muridae. The record is from Rfam.
GGGGAUUUAGCUCAGUGGUAGAGCACUUGCCUAGCAAGCACAAGACCCUGGGUUCAGUCCCCAGCUCCG